RNAcentral lists this ribosomal RNA (1050 nucleotides) under Phaeosphaeria acaciae. RNAcentral describes it as "SSU rRNA". It matches the Rfam family "Eukaryotic small subunit ribosomal RNA", at positions 45 to 1107 of the family's 1831-position model. The record is from RNAcentral. Lineage: Eukaryota; Fungi; Ascomycota; Dothideomycetes; Pleosporales; Phaeosphaeriaceae.
UAAGCCAUGCAUUUCUAAGUAUAAGCAAUUAUACCGUGAACUGCGAAUGGCUCAUUAAAUCAGUUAUCGUUUAUUUGAUAGUACCUUACUACUUGGAUAACCGUGGUAAUUCUAGAGCUAAUACAUGCUGAAAACCCCAACUUCGGGAGGGGUGUAUAUAUUAGAUAAAAAACCAACGCCCUUCGGGGCUUCUUGGUGAUUCAUGAUAUCUUUACGGAUCGCAUGGCCUUGCGCCGGCGACGGUUCAUUCAAAUUUCUGCCCUAUCAACUUUCGAUGGUAAGGUAUUGGCUUACCAUGGUUUCAACGGGUAACGGGGAAUUAGGGUUCGAUUCCGGAGAGGGAGCCUGAGAAACGGCUACCACAUCCAAGGAAGGCAGCAGGCGCGCAAAUUACCCAAUCCCGACACGGGGAGGUAGUGACAAUAAAUACUGAUACAGGGCUCUUUUGGGUCUUGUAAUUGGAAUGAGUACAAUUUAAACCUCUUAACGAGGAACAAUUGGAGGGCAAGUCUGGUGCCAGCAGCCGCGGUAAUUCCAGCUCCAAUAGCGUAUAUUAAAGUUGUUGCAGUUAAAAAGCUCGUAGUUGAACCUUGGGUCUGGCUGGCAGGUCCGCCUCACCGCGUGUACUUGUCCGGCCGGGCCUUCCUUCUGGAGAACCUCAUGCCCUUCACUGGGCGUGUUGGGGACCAGGACUUUUACUUUGAAAAAAUUAGAGUGUUCAAAGCAGGCCUUUGCUCGAAUACGUUAGCAUGGAAUAAUAGAAUAGGACGUGCGGUCCUAUUUUGUUGGUUUCUAGGACCGCCGUAAUGAUUAAUAGGGACAGUCGGGGGCAUCAGUAUUCAAUUGUCAGAGGUGAAAUUCUUGGAUUUAUUGAAGACUAACUACUGCGAAAGCAUUUGCCAAGGAUGUUUUCAUUAAUCAGUGAACGAAAGUUAGGGGAUCGAAGACGAUCAGAUACCGUCGUAGUCUUAACCGUAAACUAUGCCGACUAGGGAUCGGGCGAUGUUCUUUUUCUGACUCGCUCGGCACCUUACGAGAAAUCAAAGUUUU